Molecule: long non-coding RNA, 1601 nt
Filed under: Elaeis guineensis (African oil palm)
Lineage: Eukaryota; Viridiplantae; Streptophyta; Magnoliopsida; Arecales; Arecaceae
Description: long non-coding RNA (EGUI_LNC010188)
Source: RNAcentral
UCUUUCUUCUUGAGUUACUGGUAGAUGAAGACUUUUAGUUGGUGUUCUACCUUUCUUCUUCCUUCUCGGUUUCACGGAUGCCCUGUGCUGAUGACCGAACGCUUCUUCGGUUGGUAAGGAGGUAUUCAUCUUGAUUUUUUGCCGAGGAUUGAGAAAGGUAUCUUCGCCUCAGAUAUUCUCUUACCUUUGAUCUAUUGCCGAGGCUGAGAUUGGUAGAUCCGAUUGGAUCUUUGUUGCCUUCUAUUCGAUACUCUGUUGCCUUCUUGUUGAUUUCGAUUUUGGAUAUUUUAUACCUCAUAUUGUACCUAUUUUUCAGGACUGAUUUAUAGUGGAUUGCUCCUCCUUCCCGUGGAUGUAGGCCCCUUGUGCCGAACCACGUAAAUCUUGGUUUCUUUGUCUUUAUUUAUUUAUGCCUGCAAUGUGUUUGGCGAAUUAUCUCAAAGAGAUUAGACAUUAGAUCAAAAGCCUAGAUUGAUCCUAUCUGGUGCACGUGAUCUCAACAAUUGGUAUCAAAGCACUUGGAUGGCUGGUGACAAGAAACAAAAUUUUUCAAUGGUUAAUAAUCCGGCGUCUGUCUCUCACUCCACCACCAUCAGGCAUGAAGUGGCUAUCUUUAAUGGCACGGGAGACUUUUCACUAUGGAAGGUAAGGAUGAAAUAUUUGUUGGUUAAAGAAGGUGUAGCAAAAGUCCUUAAGGGUAUGGAUUCAAUCCCGGGAGAUAAUGAGGCUGCUAAAGAAGAAAUUAAUGAGAGUGCCCUAGGAACCUUGUUUUCAGAUUUAAGUGAUAAAGUCCUACGCAAUAUUGUGGAACUAGAUACAGCCAAAAGUGUAUAAGAAAAACUAGACAGUUUAUAUAUGGCAAAAUCCCUGACUAAUAGAUUAUAUUUGAGGAGAAAAUUAUACACAUUUCGCAUGACAGAAGGAACUUCACUUAAGGAUCACUUGGAUGAGUAUAAUAAGCUCCUGCUUGAUCUAGUAAAUGUUGGUGUCGAUAUAGAUGUAAGAAGAUAAGGACUUUGUAUUCUUAAUUUACUCUUUGUCCUAAGUCCUUUAAGUAGAUUACCACUAUCAUGCUUUANNNNNNNNNNNNNNNNNNNNCUUAGAAUUCCGCUUCGGGUGAACCUCUAUUUCGCGGAGCUUGUUUUUUCUUCUUUAAAAGGAGGCCGCGGCAUCCUUUUUUAUUUUUAAAGGGGUGCGCGGUGGUUCCUGAUGUUCUUGCGCGGGCUUGGUUCUUGGCUUUCUCCCGCUGGUGUUCUUCCUGACGUUCUUCCGCUGGUGUUCUGUUGGUGUUCUCCAUGGUGUGUCGUCUCUCUUUCUUCUUGAGUUACUGGUGGAUGAAGGCUUUUGGUUGGUGUUCUACCUUUCUUCUUCCUUCUCGGUUUCACGGAUGCCCUGUGCUGAUGACCGAACGCUUCUUCGGUUGGUAAGGAGGUAUUCAUCUUGAUUUUUUAUCGAGGAUUGAGAAAGGUAUCUUCGCCUCAGAUAUUCUCUUACCUUUGAUCUAUUGCCGAGGCUGAGAUUGGUAGAUCCGAUUGGAUCUUUGUUGCCUUCUAUUCGAUACUCUGUUGCCUUCUUGUUGAUUUCGAUUUUGGAUAUUUUAU